RNAcentral lists this long non-coding RNA (224 nucleotides) under Olea europaea (common olive). RNAcentral's name for it is "long non-coding RNA (OEUR_LNC000282)". Lineage: Eukaryota; Viridiplantae; Streptophyta; Magnoliopsida; Lamiales; Oleaceae. The record is from RNAcentral.
UUUUACCCCUUUUAGUUUGGCCAAAAUUGAUCAAAUUUUGACUUCCUCGGUCAAUUAACGGUCAAACAAACGAUUUUUAUCCAUUUGGACCUCAGGUGCAUAUCUUUUAAAGGUUUGAGACUGUAGGUGGCACAAAUUAAAAGUUUAUGGUAAAAGUCUGCAAAAAUAUGAAAGGUUAGGGAUUGCUGUUGCAAUUUUUCCUAAUUUAUACUUCGUGAUUCGAC